UAAGGUGGUUUCAAUAGAUGAGCAGAAUUGGCAGGCUCAUCCCCAGGGGGUGACAAGACUGAGUCAGGCACCUUUUCGCUGCCCCAGAACGAGUGUCUCCAGCCCAUAGAACAUGGGCCAGUGGCUGGGGGUUAUGUGGGGAGGCAGUGAGGGAAGAACAAGGAAUAGGAAAAGGUGCAGGGCUCACAGUCCACUCCCCUUGGACCAGAGUAGAAGAGAUAGGAACUUUACCUCGUGCUGGGCCCCACAUUAGGAGCAUUAACUUAAAACCUCCCUUUUAAACCUCAUCAUGCCCAGGAAAUGAACACUAUUGCUUUUGCUUUACAGAUGAUGCAAGACAAAGGCUGUAUGAGUACAAAUGAGUACCAUGUCAUAGCUACUAUGUCAUAGAACAAGGAUUCUAGACCAGCCCUGCCUGAUACUAAACUCAUGCUCUGUUUUCAAGUAUGAGUGGGUUAUUUUUGAGCUUUUGCUUCUCUUCUUCUUUGCUUCUGAUGCUUGAUUUUUAGUUAUUUUAUGGAAAAUGGAAAAAUUCCUCAAAGGGUGUAUAAGGGAGGAGGAGCUCUCCUUGAUGGCAUAUAUGGCUUUUUCUCCUGUUUGCUUCUGAACCCCCGCAAGUGGGUUGCAAAAUACAGAGAUCCUCCAAAUGCUUUUUGAAAGAAUUAAUGAGAGAGCAACUCAUGAGACGCCCGCCGUUCGGAGGAGGUUGCCCUGGUAGGCAAGAGUUCUAAGACCCAUUAGCUCCAGGACAAGAAAAACAUGGCAGGAACACUGUCGGGAAGCAUCCUCAUCUUAACCUUUGUACUAGUUAAUAAAUGGUCAGCAGUUUUUUUUUUUUUUCUGUGUACUUGCCUUUUCUACUAGAAGGUUAAAAAAAUUCUAAGCAGGCAACGUGGAUAAACCUUAAAAAAAUUUUUUUAGGUUUUUAUUAUUUUUUAAUGUUAACUGCUUUGCUGUUUGUCUUUGAAAUCUGGUUUUACUAAUUAGAACUCUUUUCGUUGCCAGUAAGGGAAACUCAUCAGAGGCAGUGGGAAUUUUGAAAUGGGGAUUUUGACAAGCACAUGGGAGGGUCUCAUGGAUUUUAGGGAAGGAUAACAGGUUGACCUUACAGGCUACAAAACAAAGCAAACAAGCCCCCAGCCCAACCAACAAUCCACAGCGUAUCUGGGGUUUGGGUCAUGUAGUAUGAACAGGACUGUUUGCACCUGUGUGUGUAGGCAGUUUUUAGGAAAAUGAAUGCUGGACGCACAGUCCACUGUGUGUCUCUACAGCGAUUGUACCACGGGCAUGUGAUUGUUUCUUUGUCUUCACUUGAGCUACUGUUGAUGGUUUUGUAAUCAUUAGUGCUAAUAUUGCUGGAGAAAAAAAAUUAAUUAAGAUGUCUAUUGUUCUGUUGCAGUAAUUUCUGUUUGUAGGGCUCAUUAACAUCUUUGCUCAGAAGAUG
Molecule: long non-coding RNA, 1444 nt
Filed under: Canis lupus familiaris (dog)
Lineage: Eukaryota; Metazoa; Chordata; Mammalia; Carnivora; Canidae
Description: lncRNA (ENSCAFG00000050227.1)
Source: RNAcentral